RNAcentral lists this long non-coding RNA (251 nucleotides) under Anas platyrhynchos (mallard). RNAcentral describes it as "lncRNA (ENSAPLG00020004913.1)". The record is from RNAcentral. Lineage: Eukaryota; Metazoa; Chordata; Aves; Anseriformes; Anatidae.
GGCCCUGAGCUAUACAUUUUAUCAGGUAUCCCUUGGUGAGUUCUAACAAAGCAUCUAGCUUUUUCCUCUACUCUGAUGCUGUGUGACAAAACCUAACCACAGGAUAGAUGACCAAAUGUAUCUUUUAAUUUGCCUGGAAGUUCUGAAGGGAAUGGAGGACCAACGCAGUGAAACAAUUCUCUGAGGAGAGCCAGCAUCUCUGUUCUGUGCAGCACUCAGCCUGCUCUCUUGGCUCAACAGUAAGAAUACCA